CGGCUUACCAAGGCAACGAUGCAUAGCCGACCUGAGAGGGUGAUCGGCCACACUGGAACUGAGACACGGUCCAGACUCCUACGGGAGGCAGCAGUAGGGAAUCUUCCGCAAUGGGCGAAAGCCUGACGGAGCAACGCCGCGUGAGUGAUGAAGGUCUUCGGAUCGUAAAACUCUGUUAUUAGGGAAGAACAUAUGUGUAAGUAACUGUGCACAUCUUGACGGUACCUAAUCAGAAAGCCACGGCUAACUACGUGCCAGCAGCCGCGGUAAUACGUAGGUGGCAAGCGUUAUCCGGAAUUAUUGGGCGUAAAGCGCGCGUAGGCGGUUUUUUAAGUCUGAUGUGAAAGCCCACGGCUCAACCGUGGAGGGUCAUUGGAAACUGGAAAACUUGAGUGCAGAAGAGGAAAGUGGAAUUCCAUGUGUAGCGGUGAAAUGCGCAGAGAUAUGGAGGAACACCAGUGGCGAAGGCGACUUUCUGGUCUGUAACUGACGCUGAUGUGCGAAAGCGUGGGGAUCAAACAGGAUUAGAUACCCUGGUAGUCCACGCCGUAAACGAUGAGUGCUAAGUGUUAGGGGGUUUCCGCCCCUUAGUGCUGCAGCUAACGCAUUAAGCA
This 614-nucleotide ribosomal RNA is filed under the name Staphylococcus aureus. RNAcentral's name for it is "bacterial SSU rRNA". It matches the Rfam family "Bacterial small subunit ribosomal RNA", at positions 261 to 866 of the family's 1533-position model. Lineage: Bacteria; Bacillati; Bacillota; Bacilli; Caryophanales; Staphylococcaceae. The record is from RNAcentral.